This 428-nucleotide ribosomal RNA is filed under the name uncultured archaeon. RNAcentral's name for it is "bacterial SSU rRNA". It matches the Rfam family "Archaeal small subunit ribosomal RNA", at positions 474 to 903 of the family's 1478-position model. The record is from RNAcentral.
UACCUGCAGCUCUAGUGGUGGCCGCUAUUAUUGGGCCUAAAACGUCCGUAGCCUGUUUAUUAAAUGCCUAGGUAAAUUGUGUGGCUUAACCAUACGAAUUCUGGGUAGACUGGUAAACUUGAGACCGGGAGAAGCUAGAGGUACUUCUGGGGUAGAGGUGAAAUUCUGUAAUCCUAGGGGGACCACCAGUGGCGAAAGCGUCUAGCUAGAACGGGUUUGACGGUGAGGGACGAAGCCCUGGGGCGCAAACGGGAUUGGAUACCCCGGUAGUCCAGGGUGUAAACGCUGCUUGCUUGAUGUUGGUUGGGCUCCGAGCCCAAUCAGUGUCGGAGAGAAGUUGUUAAGCAAGCUGCCUGGGAAUUACGGUCGCAAGACUGAAACUUAAAGGAAUUGGCGGGGAGCACCGCAACGGGAGGAGCGUGCGGUUU